Molecule: ribosomal RNA, 488 nt
Filed under: uncultured Pelotomaculum sp.
Lineage: Bacteria; Bacillati; Bacillota; Clostridia; Eubacteriales; Desulfotomaculaceae
Description: bacterial SSU rRNA
Rfam family: Bacterial small subunit ribosomal RNA
Source: RNAcentral
AAACUUAAAGGAAUUGACGGGGGCCCGCACAAGCGGUGGAGCAUGUGGUUUAAUUCGACGCAACGCGAAGAACCUUACCAGGGCUUGACAUCCCCUGACCGCGUAUGAAAGUACGUUUUCACCCUCGGGUGACAGGGAGACAGGUGGUGCAUGGUUGUCGUCAGCUCGUGUCGUGAGAUGUUGGGUUAAGUCCCGCAACGAGCGCAACCCCUACGUUUAGUUGCUAACGCGUGAAGGCGAGCACUCUAGACGAACUGCCGUUGACAAAACGGAGGAAGGUGGGGAUGACGUCAAAUCAUCAUGCCCCUUAUGUUCUGGGCUACACACGUGCUACAAUGGCUGGUACAAAGGGUUGCCAACCCGCGAGGGGGAGCUAAUCCCAUAAAGCCAGUCGUAGUCCGGAUCGUAGUCUGCAACUCGACUACGUGAAGUCGGAAUCGCUAGUAAUCGUGGAUCAGAAUGUCACGGUGAAUACGUUCCCGGGUCUU